CGUACACUCCUACGGGAGGCAGCAGUGGGGAAUUUUGGACAAUGGGCGAAAGCCUGAUCCAGCCAUGCCGCGUGCAGGAUGAAGGCCUUCGGGUUGUAAACUGCUUUUGUACGGAACGAAACGGCCUUUUCUAAUAAAGAGGGCUAAUGACGGUACCGUAAGAAUAAGCACCGGCUAACUACGUGCCAGCAGCCGCGGUAAUACGUAGGGUGCAAGCGUUAAUCGGAAUUACUGGGCGUAAAGCGUGCGCAGGCGGUUAUGUAAGACAGUUGUGGAAUCCCCGGGCUCAACCUGGGAACUGCAUCUGUGACUGCAUAGCUAGAGUACGGUAGAGGGGGAUGGAAUUCCGCGUGUAGCAGUGAAAUGCGUAGAUAUGCGGAGGAACACCGAUGGCGAAGGCAAUCCCCUGGACCUGUACUGACGCUCAUGCACGAAAGCGUGGGGAGCAAACAGGAUUAGAUACCCUUGUAGUCCC
Molecule: ribosomal RNA, 475 nt
Filed under: uncultured organism
Description: partial 16S ribosomal RNA
Rfam family: Bacterial small subunit ribosomal RNA
Source: RNAcentral